RNAcentral lists this ribosomal RNA (934 nucleotides) under uncultured Catenibacterium sp. RNAcentral's name for it is "bacterial SSU rRNA". It matches the Rfam family "Bacterial small subunit ribosomal RNA", at positions 11 to 941 of the family's 1533-position model. The record is from RNAcentral. Lineage: Bacteria; Bacillati; Bacillota; Erysipelotrichia; Erysipelotrichales; Coprobacillaceae.
GUUUGAUCCUGGCUCAGGAUGAACGCUGGCGGCGUGCCUAAUACAUGCAAGUCGAACGAAUCUCUUUUAGAGAUGAGUGGCGAACGGGUGAGUAAUACAUAGGUAACCUGCCCCUGUGCGGGGGAUAACAGGAGGAAACUCCUGCUAAUACCGCAUAGCCAUGAGCACCGCAUGGAGCUCAUGCCAAAUAUCCUUUCGGGGAUAGCGCAGGGAUGGACCUAUGGCGCAUUAGCUGGUUGGCGGGGCAACGGCCCACCAAGGCAACGAUGCGUAGCCGGCCUGAGAGGGCGGACGGCCACAUUGGGACUGAGACACGGCCCAGACUCAUACGGGAGGCAGCAGUAGGGAAUUUUCGGCAAUGGGGGAAACCCUGACCGAGCAACGCCGCGUGAGCGAGGAAGGCCUUCGGGUCGUAAAGCUCUGUUGUAAAGGAAGAACGGCGCAUACAGGAAAUGGUAUGCGAGUGACGGUACUUUACCAGAAAGCCACGGCUAACUACGUGCCAGCAGCCGCGGUAAUACGUAGGUGGCGAGCGUUAUCCGGAAUCAUUGGGCGUAAAGAGGGAGCAGGCGGCCGCAAGGGUCUGUGGUGAAAGACCGAAGCUAAACUUUCGGUAAGCCAUGGGAAACCGGGCGGCUAGAGUGCGGAAGAGGAUCGUGGAAUUCCAUGUGUAGCGGUGAAAUGCGUAGAUAUAUGGAGGAACACCAGUGGCGAAGGCGACGGUCUGGGCCGCAACUGACGCUCAUUCCCGAAAGCGUGGGGAGCAAAUAGGAUUAGAUACCCUAGUAGUCCACGCCGUAAACGAUGGUCACUAAGUGUCGGGGGUCAAACCCCGGUGCUGCAGUCAACGCAAUAAGUGACCCGCCUGAGUAGUACGUUCGCAAGAAUGAAACUCAAAGGAAUUGACGGGGGCCCGCACAAGCGGUGGAGCAUG